ACAAACUGAAGAAAUAUGUCUGGCAAGUCAUGGAGGCAGCAGAGAUGUGAUGGCUUUGGCUUCUGUAAAAGGUUGCUCUGAGCUUUCUCACUGGUUCCUGAGGAAGCUCCAUCUCCUGAGAAUUUUCUGGGCUCAGAGGACCUGUGUACGUGAACCACGGAAAGGAAGAGGGAAAAGUGACAUAAACAAAAAUGACAAUUGUAGCGUUUACUGACAGAAGCUGUUCCAAACCUUCCAGCUAAAGAAAAAAAUGAAACCAAACAUUCCCUCCUUUGCCCCAAAACAGCAAGUGUCUAGGAGAAACUUCACGUACCUCAUUGUUUGCCUGCAAAGCCUAUGUUGCACUGUUGUCAAACCAUAUAGAAACCUGGAUUUUUGCACAUUGUGUGAAGAGUGUAGCAGUGAAUCAGACUUGUUAUCAAAUGGGAGCUCCUGUACAGAGAAUGGGGUGCAGAGGAUGGACGAGAAGCACAAAAGUCACCCUCUUCUCAGUCACUCCUGUACUUUGCGUUCUCAUCUCUGCACUUCUGAAGCUGAAUUUGUGUUCAAAUGCAAAGUUAUCCCUUAGAGUGAUGGCUCUGGAGCAUGAGGACCAUUAGUGCUUUCUGGAAAAUACUGAGGUUGAUGGAAAAAAUGACAACAAACCUAUACUAUUUCUGCUAAAUCCAAUGUUGCUAAUCUGGAUUCAACUCAUGCAAAGCAGCAAGAUGUGGGCCUGAGCAGCUAGAGAAUAGCAAUUAUGGAAGAGAAAAGGCAGCAUCGUGUAAGACUAUGAUCUGUUGUCUCUUCAUUCAGAUCUUCAGCUCUAAGGAAUCUCUCUUUGUAUGCUGAACCCAGUUACAACUAUGACGUGAAAUGAAAUAUGAUGCAUCGUAAAGACCUUAGCUAUCAAUUAGCAAUACACAAGAAUGAAAGAUGAAUACCUAAUAUGCGACUGAUACAUCCUCCAGUGAGAAUGCCUGGGUACUUGAAGUGCGUGCCUGUAUUCCUGGGGAAGGCACAGAAAGCUGCUUGAUGUCCACAGCAGUUGGCACUGAGCAGUUGGCAGCUUCUUCAUCUCCUUCUCCAGAGAGAGCCCAUUUUACACCACAGUUUGGUUUUUAUCUCUAAAUGUAGUGCAGAACCUGCCACGAAGAAUGACACUGAUGUUCAGGGAAGAGACAUUCAGCAAAGGCCCUGAUGUGAAAUGCAGUGAAAAGGAAAUGUUUCUUUUGCAUUUGAAGUGACUGCUCAGAGCCACGUUAACAAUCUGUGGAGUGUUCACUGGUGAAUUCGCUGGGGCUACGGGGGCUGCCCCAGAUCAGUGCAUGUGUCCCCUUGUUCUGCCAGCAGGGCAGGAGGAGAAGUGCCACAGUUUGUCCUCAGCACGUGCCAGCAGGGCUGACAGGGACACAGCCUGCUUCUCUUCAGCCCCAUGUCCACCGGCAGCAUAUCCUCAUUGUCCAACAGUGUGCGCUGGCAGCCCAGGGACAGAGGGCUUCUGCAUCAGAGACAUUCCCCUCUGCAAGCCAUCCUCGUAGACCUAGGUCUGCAGCCUGCAGGGCGUGUGCUAAAAUGUUUCUGUUGGAAUAUCUAAAUGGUUAGAAAGAGAUUGCAAUGAAGGCCAGUUUAGAACUUCAGAAUUUCACCCUGUUGUUUUGUGCCUCAAUAUUGUUUUUCUUUUAUGCACAGACAUUAACAUUUUGAUUUUUGAUUGAAAUAGCAAAUAAAAGGUCUGGUAUUUAUCUGAAAAGUACUGAAAACUGAGUUCUAAUGCAAUCACCCCCAAAAGAAAUACGCAUCAGUGGAAAGCACAUUGGAUUAUAAUGAAAUAAACUGGUGGCUUCUAAAGAUAGGGUAGGUUCAACUGUAUUUAUUUUUUAAAUCUUUUCUAUUAUUUUUAUGGAAAGAUAUUUCCUCCACAAUUUUGUGAAACACAUUUCUUAAUGUUAAGAAAAUAAUGCUUCCUUGCAAAUUGCCUUGUUUCAGCUGAUCUAGAUUAAGUUAUAUCUAAGGGUGGCUUAAUGGUCUCACUGUAUGAAUGCACGUGCAAUUUACAGACCUGUCAAUAAUGAAAAUCUUCAAGUAUGCAGAUAUCUUUUUAAAUGAAUAGUUGGCCUAACAUUUUGACACUUAAAAUGAAGAUCAGUAAAGGUUUUCUAUUAGUGAUGUUGUUUUCAUAAACACUUCAUUACAGACAGCCAAAAACCAGGGAGAUUGCAUUCCUUGUGAGUGUAAUAGCAGUAAACACAUGCAGUACAAGUGUAUCUAUUAUUUACAACCCACCUAAGGCUCUAUCAGCACCAGCAGCAAAACAGACAGUAUCUUAUCAGUAAAACU
This is a long non-coding RNA of Lagopus muta (rock ptarmigan), 2319 nucleotides long. RefSeq lists it as uncharacterized. The transcript has 5 exons. The record is from RefSeq and is a predicted model, not a curated record. NCBI's taxonomy places the organism in Eukaryota, Metazoa, Chordata, Aves, Galliformes, Phasianidae.